AUCGGAGCUUCGAGUGGACCUUCCGUAGAGAUUGGACAUGUGUGCAGCUACAAGCAACCAGCAAAGAUCCUCGUUACCAUAUUCAUCAACAACAAUGAUCGUCGAUCCAUACUCAGGUAUCAAGUUCUGAACUCAGAUAGAUGUAGAUUUGAUCUACUGUUUACAUGCAUGUAUGCAGAUUUAUCUAAAUUUUUUAGAUUUUAUAUGCAAUAUAUUGUUGCCCCA
RNAcentral lists this long non-coding RNA (225 nucleotides) under Elaeis guineensis (African oil palm). RNAcentral describes it as "long non-coding RNA (EGUI_LNC026607)". Lineage: Eukaryota; Viridiplantae; Streptophyta; Magnoliopsida; Arecales; Arecaceae. The record is from RNAcentral.